AUUGAACGCUGGCGGCAGGCCUAACACAUGCAAGUCGACCGAGUGGCGGACGGGUGAGUAAUGUCUGGGACACUGCCUGCUGGAGGGGGAUAACUACUGGAAAAGGUAGCUACUACCGCAUACCAUCGGAUGUGCCCAGAUGUGGUUAGCUAGUAGGUGGGUUAAAGGCUCACCUAGGCGACGACCCCUAGCUGGUCUGAGAGGCUGAUCAGUCACACGGGAACGGAGACACGGUCCAGACUCCUACGGUAGGCAGCAGUGGGGAAGAUUGGACAAUGGGCGAAAGCCUAAUGCAGCCAUGCCGCGUGUGUGAAGAAGUUCUUCGGAUUGUAAAGCACUUUAAGUUGGGAGGCGUUACCAACAGAAUAAGCACCGGCUAACUUCGUGCCAGCAGCCGCGGUAAUUC
RNAcentral lists this ribosomal RNA (406 nucleotides) under uncultured bacterium. RNAcentral's name for it is "partial 16S ribosomal RNA". It matches the Rfam family "Bacterial small subunit ribosomal RNA", at positions 30 to 526 of the family's 1533-position model. The record is from RNAcentral.